CCUAACAACCCCAUCUAUUGAAUAAAAAAAGGAAUCUGAAAAACAAAAACACCAACCGCAGCCACCAAUCAUCUUCAUCUUUCCAACCACCAACUCAAGCACGCUCACCACGAAUCCUUCUUGCCAGCUGAAUAUCCUUGGGCAUAAUGGUUACACGCUUGGCGUGAAUGGCACACAGGUUAGUGUCCUCAAAGAGCCCAACAAGGUAUGCCUCAGCAGCUUCUUGCAAUGCAAGCACGGCGUGGCUCUGGAA
RNAcentral lists this long non-coding RNA (253 nucleotides) under Glycine max (soybean). RNAcentral describes it as "long non-coding RNA (GMAX_LNC002553)". Lineage: Eukaryota; Viridiplantae; Streptophyta; Magnoliopsida; Fabales; Fabaceae. The record is from RNAcentral.